AAGACGGCCCUAUGGGUUGUAAACUGCUUUUGUACCGGAGAAAACCUCCCCUCGUGAGGGGAGCUGAUAGUAUGGUAAGAAUAAGCAUCGGCUAACUUCGUGCCAGCAGCCGCGGUAAGACGAAGGAUGCAAGCGUUAUCCGGAUUCAUUGGGUUUAAAGGGAGCGUAGGCGGUUUGGUAAGUCAGUGGUGAAAUCUCUCAGCUUAACUGAGAAAUUGCCAUUGAUACUGCUGAACUUGAGUAUAGUUGCCGUUGGCGGAAUAUGACAUGUAGUGGUGAAAUACAUAGAGAUGUCAUAGAACACCGAUUGCGAAGGCAGCUGACGAAACUAUAACUGACGCUGAGGCUCGAAAGUGCGGGGAUCAAACAGGAUUAGAUACCCUGGUAGUCCGCACUGUAAACGAUGAUUACUCGCUGCUGGGAGGUAACUUUCAGUGGCUUAGCGAAAGCGAUAAGUAAUCCACCUGGGGAGUACGCCGGCAACGGUG
This 488-nucleotide ribosomal RNA is filed under the name uncultured bacterium. Its description in RNAcentral is "bacterial SSU rRNA". It matches the Rfam family "Bacterial small subunit ribosomal RNA", at positions 408 to 896 of the family's 1533-position model. The record is from RNAcentral.